This 474-nucleotide ribosomal RNA is filed under the name uncultured organism. RNAcentral's name for it is "partial 16S ribosomal RNA". It matches the Rfam family "Bacterial small subunit ribosomal RNA", at positions 331 to 797 of the family's 1533-position model. The record is from RNAcentral.
GUACACUCCUACGGGAGGCAGCAGUGGGGAAUAUUGCACAAUGGGCGCAAGCCUGAUGCAGCCAUGCCGCGUGUAUGAAGAAGGCCUUCGGGUUGUAAAGUACUUUCAGCGGGGAGGAAGGCGAUAAGGUUAAUAACCUUGUCGAUUGACGUUACCCGCAGAAGAAGCACCGGCUAACUCCGUGCCAGCAGCCGCGGUAAUACGGAGGGUGCAAGCGUUAAUCGGAAUUACUGGGCGUAAAGCGCACGCAGGCGGUCUGUCAAGUCGGAUGUGAAAUCCCCGGGCUCAACCUGGGAACUGCAUUCGAAACUGGCAGGCUAGAGUCUUGUAGAGGGGGGUAGAAUUCCAGGUGUAGCGGUGAAAUGCGUAGAGAUCUGGAGGAAUACCGGUGGCGAAGGCGGCCCCCUGGACAAAGACUGACGCUCAGGUGCGAAAGCGUGGGGAGCAAACAGGAUUAGAAACCCGGGUAGUCCC